This 253-nucleotide ribosomal RNA is filed under the name uncultured bacterium. Its description in RNAcentral is "partial 16S ribosomal RNA". It matches the Rfam family "Bacterial small subunit ribosomal RNA", at positions 524 to 776 of the family's 1533-position model. The record is from RNAcentral.
UACGGAGGGUGCUAACGUUGUCCGGAUUUACUGGGCGUAAAGCGCAUGUAGGUGGUUUGGCAAGUCAAUGAUUAAAGACCAACGCUCAACGUUGGACCGGUUGUUGAAACUGCCUGACUAGAGGGUAGCAGGGGUAAGCGGAACUUUGAGUGUAGGAGUGAAAUCCGUAGAUAUUCAAAGGAACACCAAUGGCGAAGGCAGCUUACUGGGCUAUUUCUGACACUGAGAUGCGAAAGCGUGGGGAGCAAACGGG